Molecule: ribosomal RNA, 561 nt
Filed under: Penicillium chrysogenum
Lineage: Eukaryota; Fungi; Ascomycota; Eurotiomycetes; Eurotiales; Aspergillaceae
Description: partial large subunit ribosomal RNA
Rfam family: Eukaryotic large subunit ribosomal RNA
Source: RNAcentral
AGUAACGGCGAGUGAAGCGGCAAGAGCUCAAAUUUGAAAGCUGGCUCCUUCGGGGUCCGCAUUGUAAUUUGUAGAGGAUGCUUCGGGAGCGGUCCCCAUCUAAGUGCCCUGGAACGGGACGUCAUAGAGGGUGAGAAUCCCGUAUGGGAUGGGGUGUCCGCGCCCGUGUGAAGCUCCUUCGACGAGUCGAGUUGUUUGGGAAUGCAGCUCUAAAUGGGUGGUAAAUUUCAUCUAAAGCUAAAUAUUGGCCGGAGACCGAUAGCGCACAAGUAGAGUGAUCGAAAGAUGAAAAGCACUUUGAAAAGAGAGUUAAAAAGCACGUGAAAUUGUUGAAAGGGAAGCGCUUGCGACCAGACUCGCUCGCGGGGUUCAGCCGGCAUUCGUGCCGGUGUACUUCCCCGCGGGCGGGCCAGCGUCGGUUUGGGCGGUCGGUCAAAGGCCCUCGGAAGGUAACGCCCCUAGGGGCGUCUUAUAGCCGAGGGUGCAAUGCGACCUGCCUAGACCGAGGAACGCGCUUCGGCUCGGACGCUGGCAUAAUGGUCGUAAACGACCCGUCUUGAA